GUUGAAUAUAUAGACGGUGUGGAGGGAACGAGGGGAAGUGAAACAUCUCAGUACCCUCAGGAAGAGAAAACAAUAGUGAUUCCGUGAGUAGUGGCGAGCGAAAGCGGAUGAGGCUAAACCAUGCACAUGUGAUACCGGGUAGGGGUUGUGUGUGUGGUGUUGUGGGGUUCAUCUUUCCAGCUCUACCUGGCUGGACAGCAGUAAGAAAGUGUCGUGUUAGGUGAAGUGACCUGGAACGGUCCGCCGGAGAGGGUGAGAGUCCUGUAACCGAAAACACGGUGCCUGUUGUGAUGGAUACCCGAGUAGCAGCGAGCCCGUGAAAUUCGCUGUGAAUCUGCCGAGACCACUCGGUAAGCCUAAAUACUACCUUGCGACCGAUAGCGGACAAGUACCGUGAGGGAAAGGUGAAAAGUACCCCGGGAGGGGAGUGAAAUAGUACCUGAAACCGUGUGCUUACAAUCCGUCAGAGCCCUCGUUGUGGGGUGAUGGCGUGCCUUUUGAAGAAUGAGCCUGCGAGUCAGUGCUCGGUGGCGAGGUUAACCCGUUGUGGGGUAGCCGUAGCGAAAGCGAGUCCGAAUAGGGCGUUUGAGUCGCCGGGUCUGGACCCGAAGCGGAGUGAUCUACCCAUGGCCAGGGUGAAGCAGCAGUAAGAUGUUGUGGAGGCCCGAACCCACUUAGGUUGAAAACUGAGGGGAUGAGCUGUGGGUAGGGGUGAAAGGCCAAUCAAACUCCGUGAUAGCUGGUUCUCCCCGAAAUGCAUUUAGGUGCAGCGUCACGUGUUUCUUGCCGGAGGUAGAGCUACUGGAUGGCCGAUGGGCCCUCACAGGUUACUGACGUCAGCCAAACUCCGAAUGCCGGUAAGUGAGAACGUGGCAGUGAGACUGCGGGGGAUAAGCUUCGUAGUCGAGAGGGAAACAGCCCAGAUCGCCGGCUAAGGCCCCUAAGCGUGUACUAA
Molecule: ribosomal RNA, 955 nt
Filed under: Tsukamurella pseudospumae
Lineage: Bacteria; Bacillati; Actinomycetota; Actinomycetes; Mycobacteriales; Tsukamurellaceae
Description: bacterial LSU rRNA
Rfam family: Bacterial large subunit ribosomal RNA
Source: RNAcentral